This 305-nucleotide ribosomal RNA is filed under the name uncultured bacterium. RNAcentral's name for it is "bacterial SSU rRNA". It matches the Rfam family "Bacterial small subunit ribosomal RNA", at positions 333 to 636 of the family's 1533-position model. The record is from RNAcentral.
ACAGUCCUACGGGACGCAGCAGUGAGGAAUAUUGGUCAAUGGUCGGGAGACUGAACCAGCCAAGCCGCGUGAGGGAUGAGGGUACAGAGUAUCGUAAACCUCUUUUGUCAGGGAACAAAGGCGGGGAGGUGUCCCCGGAUGAGUGUACCUGAAGAAAAAGCAUCGGCUAACUCCGUGCCAGCAGCCGCGGUAAUACGGAGGAUGCGAGCGUUAUUCGGAUUUAUUGGGUUUAAAGGGUGCGCAGGCGGUCUGUUAAGUCAGCGGUCAAAGCCCGGGGCUCAACCCCGGCCCGCCGUUGAAACUGG